Molecule: transfer RNA, 72 nt
Filed under: Camelus dromedarius (Arabian camel)
Lineage: Eukaryota; Metazoa; Chordata; Mammalia; Artiodactyla; Camelidae
Also listed under: 1 other name
Rfam family: tRNA
About the family: Transfer RNA (tRNA) molecules are approximately 80 nucleotides in length. Their secondary structure includes four short double-helical elements and three loops (D, anti-codon, and T loops). Further hydrogen bonds mediate the characteristic L-shaped molecular structure. tRNAs have two regions of fundamental functional importance: the anti-codon, which is responsible for specific mRNA codon recognition, and the 3' end, to which the tRNAs corresponding amino acid is attached (by aminoacyl-tRNA synthetases). tRNAs cope with the degeneracy of the genetic code in two manners: having more than one tRNA (with a specific anti-codon) for a particular amino acid; and 'wobble' base-pairing, i.e. permitting non-standard base-pairing at the 3rd anti-codon position.
Source: Rfam by way of RNAcentral
GUGGGUAUAGCUCAGUGGUAGAGCACAUGCUUAGCAUGCACAAGGUCCUGGAUUCAAUCCCCAGUACCUCCA